UCUCUCGUAGCUUAGUAGUCAGAGUAUUGAUGCAUAAAGCCAAAGGUCCCGGGAUCGAUUCCCGGCGAGGGUA
RNAcentral lists this transfer RNA (73 nucleotides) under Agrilus planipennis (emerald ash borer). It matches the Rfam family "tRNA". Rfam says of the family: Transfer RNA (tRNA) molecules are approximately 80 nucleotides in length. The record is from Rfam by way of RNAcentral. Lineage: Eukaryota; Metazoa; Arthropoda; Insecta; Coleoptera; Buprestidae.